UAGUGGCGAACGGGUGAGUAACACGUGAGUAACCUGCCCUUGACUCUGGGAUAAGCGCUGGAAACGGCGUCUAAUACCGGAUACGACCUGCCCCGGCAUCGGGUGCGGGUGGAAAGUUUUUCGGUCAAGGAUGGACUCGCGGCCUAUCAGCUUGUUGGUGAGGUAAUGGCUCACCAAGGCGACGACGGGUAGCCGGCCUGAGAGGGUGACCGGCCCACACUGGGACUGAGGACACGGCCCAGACUCCUACGGGAGGCAGCAGUGGGGAAUAUUGCACAAUGGGCGCAAGCCUGAUGCAGCAACGCCGCGUGGGGGAUGACGGCCUUCGGGUUGUAAACCUCUUUUAGUAGGGAAGAAGGGCUUCGGCUUGACGGUACCUGCAGAAAAAGCACCGGCUAACUACGUGCCAGCAGCCGCGGUAAUACGUAGGGUGCAAGCGUUGUCCGGAAUUAUUGGGCGUAAAGAGCUCGUAGGCGGUUUGUCGCGUCUGCUGUGAAAACCCGAGGCUCAACCUCGGGCCUGCAGUGGGUACGGGCAGACUAGAGUGCGGUAGGGGAGAAUGGAAUUCCUGGUGUAGCGGUGGAAUGCGCAGAUAUCAGGAGGAACACCGAUGGCGAAGGCAGUUCUCUGGGCCGUUACUGACGCUGAGGAGCGAAAGCGUGGGGAGCGAACAGGAUUAGAUACCCUGGUAGUCCACGCCGUAAACGUUGGGAACUAGAUGUGGGGACCUUUCCACGGUCUCCGUGUCGCAGCUAACGCAUUAAGUUCCCCGCCUGGGGAGUACGGCCGCAAGGCUAAAACUCAAAGGAAUUGACGGGGGCCCGCACAAGCGGCGGAGCAUGCGGAUUAAUUCGAUGCAACGCGAAGAACCUUACCAAGGCUUGACAUAUACCGGAAACUUCCAGAAAUGGGUUGCCCCGCAAGGUCGGUAUACAGGUGGUGCAUGGUUGUCGUCAGCUCGUGUCGUGAGAUGUUGGGUUAAGUCCCGCAACGAGCGCAACCCUCGUUCUAUGUUGCCAGCACGUCAUGGUGGGGAACUUCAUAGGAGACUGCCGGGGUCAACUCGGAGGAAGGUGGGGAUGACGUCAAAUCAUCAUGCCCCUUAUGUCUUGGGCUUCACGCAUGCUACAAUGGCCGGUACAAAGGGCUGCGAUACCGUAAGGUGGAGCGAAUCCCAAAAAGCCGGUCUCAGUUCGGAUUGAGGUCUGCAACUCGACCUCAUGAAGUCGGAGUCGCUAGUAAUCGCAGAUCAGCAACGCUGCGGUGAAUACGUUCCCGGGCCUUGUACACACCGCCCGUCAAGUCAUGAAAGUCGGUA
This 1318-nucleotide ribosomal RNA is filed under the name Rathayibacter tritici. Its description in RNAcentral is "16S ribosomal RNA". It matches the Rfam family "Bacterial small subunit ribosomal RNA", at positions 93 to 1416 of the family's 1533-position model. The record is from RNAcentral. Lineage: Bacteria; Bacillati; Actinomycetota; Actinomycetes; Micrococcales; Microbacteriaceae.